UGGCCUCAAAUCAGGCAAGAAUCC
RNAcentral lists this ribosomal RNA (24 nucleotides) under uncultured Glomus. Its description in RNAcentral is "partial 28S ribosomal RNA". The record is from RNAcentral. Lineage: Eukaryota; Fungi; Glomeromycota; Glomeromycetes; Glomerales; Glomeraceae.